This 908-nucleotide ribosomal RNA is filed under the name uncultured archaeon. RNAcentral's name for it is "bacterial SSU rRNA". It matches the Rfam family "Archaeal small subunit ribosomal RNA", at positions 8 to 921 of the family's 1478-position model. The record is from RNAcentral.
UUGAUCCUGCCGGAGGUUACUGCUAUCGAGGUCCGACUAAGCCAUGCGAGUCGAAUGUCGCAAGACAUGGCGUACUGCUCAGUAACACGUGGACAACCUACCCUCAGCACGGGGAUAAACCCGGGAAACUGGGUAUAAUACCCGAUAGUUCUGGGAAGCUGGAAUGCUCCCAUGACGAAAGCUCCGGCGACUGAGGAUGGGUCUGCGGCCUAUCAGGUAGUAGUGGGUGUAAUGUACCUACUAGCCUACGACGGGUACGGGUCGUGAGAGCGAGAGCCCGGAGAUGGAUUCUGAGACACGAAUCCAGGCCCUACGGGGUGCAGCAGGCGCGAAAACUUUACAAUGCUGGCAACAGCGAUAAGGGGACCUCGAGUGCCAGGAUACAAUCUUGGCUGUCGCGAUGCCUAAAAAGCAUUGCAUAGCAAGGGCCGGGCAAGACCGGUGCCAGCCGCCGCGGUAACACCGGCGGCUCGAGUGGUAACCGCUAUUAUUGGGUCUAAAGGGUCUGUAGCCGGCCGGAUAAGUCUCUUGGGAAAUCCAGCAGCUCAACUGUUGGGCUUUCAGGAGAUACUGUUCGGCUCGAGACCGGGAGAGGUGAGAGGUACUUCAGGGGUAGGGGUGAAAUCUUGUAAUCCUUGAAGGACCACCAGUGGCGAAGGCGUCUCACCAGAACGGAUCUGACGGCAAGGGACGAAAGCUAGGGGCACGAACCGGAUUAGAUACCCGGGUAGUCCUAGCCGUAAACGAUACUCGCUAGGUGUCAGCCACGGUGCGACCGUGGUUGGUGCCGUAGGGAAGCCGUGAAGCGAGCCACCUGGGAAGUACGGCCGCAAGGCUGAAACUUAAAGGAAUUGGCGGGGGAGCACUACAACGGGUGGAGCCUGCGGUUUAAUUGGAUUCAACGCCGG